AUGUCCGAAGCUCUAUUGAAAUAUGCUCUUUCACAAAUUUAUCUGAACCCACAUAUUUGGGCACAUUCAAGUUACGAAGUACAAACAGAACUUUAUUUGUUUCUAAUACAGUAUUUUGAGACUGAUGGGAAACUAUUACCAAUACUCUGUGGACUCCCUAAGAUCAUUGGCAUUGUAUGCCUUCUAAGCCUUUACUAUAUCUGUAGAGAGGCCACAUAUAGAAGAAAUUCGCGAUAUCCGUUUUCUCCUAUUGAGUCUUGCAGAAAUGAGCCUAAAGUAAGUACUACUUCAUUCGGAGAUACUUUUUGGUGUCUACACUCCAGAACGCUGUGUUUUUCUCUCCAUCUGAACUUCUGGAUCAUUUUCUUAUUAUAA
RNAcentral lists this ribosomal RNA (375 nucleotides) under Triticum aestivum (bread wheat). Its description in RNAcentral is "partial small subunit ribosomal RNA". The record is from RNAcentral. Lineage: Eukaryota; Viridiplantae; Streptophyta; Magnoliopsida; Poales; Poaceae.